UGUACUAUCCUUCUAUCCUGGAAAAAGAUCUAAGUAAAUUCAGAUAAAAAAAUAUUAGAGACGUUCAAGCCCACAAUUCGUGGCCCUUGGGGUUACCGGGGUGAGCGCGGGUCCAAAGGGGAAAACGGUGAUGAGGGUCUUAUGGGCCUAAAAGGUCCC
This is a long non-coding RNA of Entelurus aequoreus (snake pipefish), 159 nucleotides long. RefSeq lists it as uncharacterized. The record is from RefSeq and is a predicted model, not a curated record. The transcript has 3 exons. NCBI's taxonomy places the organism in Eukaryota, Metazoa, Chordata, Actinopteri, Syngnathiformes, Syngnathidae.